ACGAACGCUGGCGGUAUGCUUAACACAUGCAAGUCGAACGAGACGAGAUGGAAGGAUCCUUCGGGUGACGGAAAUCUUAGAAAGUGGCGAACGGGUGAGUAACGCGUGGGUAACCUGCCCUAUGGAAAGGAAUAGCCUCGGGAAACUGGGAGUAAUGCCUUAUAAUACAUUGAAGUCGCAUGGCUUUGAUGUUAAACGCUCCGGUGCCAUAGGAUGGACCCGCGUCCCAUUAGCUAGUUGGUGAGAUAACAGCCCACCAAGGCGACGAUGGGUAACCGGUCUGAGAGGGCGAACGGUCACACUGGAACUGAGACACGGUCCAGACUCCUACGGGAGGCAGCAGUGGGGAAUAUUGCGCAAUGGGGGCAACCCUGACGCAGCAAUACCGCGUGAGUGAAGAAGGUUUUCGGAUCGUAAAGCUCUGUUAUUGGGGAAGAAAAAAAGACGGUACCCAAGAAGAAAGUCCCGGCUAACUACGU
RNAcentral lists this ribosomal RNA (479 nucleotides) under uncultured bacterium. RNAcentral's name for it is "bacterial SSU rRNA". It matches the Rfam family "Bacterial small subunit ribosomal RNA", at positions 29 to 506 of the family's 1533-position model. The record is from RNAcentral.